AAUCAACGCUGGCGGCGCGCUUAACACAUGCAAGUCGCACGAGAAAGGGAGCAAUCCUGAGUAAAGUGGCGUACGGGUGAGUAACACGUGGAUUAUCUACCUCUUUGUGGGGAAUAACUUUGGGAAACCGAAGCUAAUACCGCAUAAGCUCGUGAGAGGAAAGCAGCAAUGCGCAGAGAGAGGAGUCCGCGGUCGAUUAGCUAGUUGGCGGGGUAACGGCCCACCAAGGCUAUGAUCGAUAGCCGGCCUGAGAGGGCACACGGCCACACUGGCACUGAAACACGGACCAGACUCCUACGGGAGGCAGCAGUGGGGAAUCUUGCACAAUGGGGGAAACCCUGAUGCAGCGACGCCGCGUGGGUGAUGAAGUCCUUCGGGAUGUAAAGCCCUUUCGACAGGAACGAUAAUGACGGUACCUGGAGAAGAAGCUGCGGCUAACUACGUGCCAGCAGCCGCGGUAAUACGUAGGCAGCAAGCGUUGUUCGGGGUUACUGGGCGUAAAGAGUAUGUAGGCGGUUAGGUAAGUUUGGUGUGAAAUCUCCCGGCUUAACUGGGAGGGUGCGCCGAAAACUGCCUGGCUCGAGUGCGGGAGAGGGGAGCGGAAUUCCUGGUGUAGCGGUGAAAUGCGUAGAUAUCAGGAGGAACACCUGCGGUGUAGACGGCUCCCUGGACCGUGACUGACGCUGAGAUACGAAAGCGUGGGUAGCAAACAGGAUUAGAUACCCUGGUAGUCCACGCCCUAAACGAUGCAUACUUGGUGUUGGCCAUUCACUUGGUCAGUGCCGGGGCUAACGCGUUAAGUAUGCCGCCUGGGGAGUACGGUCGCAAGGCUGAAACUCAAAUGAAUU
This 848-nucleotide ribosomal RNA is filed under the name uncultured Acidobacteriota bacterium. Its description in RNAcentral is "bacterial SSU rRNA". It matches the Rfam family "Bacterial small subunit ribosomal RNA", at positions 28 to 911 of the family's 1533-position model. The record is from RNAcentral. Lineage: Bacteria; Pseudomonadati; Acidobacteriota.